This 666-nucleotide ribosomal RNA is filed under the name uncultured Nitrospira sp. RNAcentral's name for it is "bacterial SSU rRNA". It matches the Rfam family "Bacterial small subunit ribosomal RNA", at positions 59 to 719 of the family's 1533-position model. Lineage: Bacteria; Pseudomonadati; Nitrospirota; Nitrospiria; Nitrospirales; Nitrospiraceae. The record is from RNAcentral.
CAGUCGAACGAGAAGGCGUAGCAAUACGCUUGUACUGUGGCGAACGGGUGAGGAAUACUUGGGUGACCUACCCUAGAGAGGGGAAUAACCCGCCGAAAGGUGGGCUAAUGCCGCGUACGCUUUCACCUCUGCGGAGAUGGAAGGAAAGCUGUACCGAGGGUACAGCGCUCUAGGAUGGGCUCAAGUCCUAUCAGCUUGUUGGUAGGGUAACGGCCUACCAAGGCAACGACGGGCAGCUGGUCUGAGAGGACGAGCAGCCACACUGGCACUGCGACACGGGCCAGACUCCUACGGGAGGCAGCAGUGAGGAAUAUUGCGCAAUGGGCGAAAGCCUGACGCAGCGACGCCGCGUGGGGGAUGAAGGUCUUCGGAUUGUAAACCCCUUUCGGGAGGGAAGAUGGGGUGGGCAACCACCCGGACGGUACCUCCAGAAGCAGCCACGGCUAACUUCGUGCCAGCAGCCGCGGUAAUACGAAGGUGGCAAGCGUUGUUCGGAUUUACUGGGCGUACAGGGUGCGUAGGCGGUUCGGUAAGCCCUUCGGGAAAUCUCCAGGCUCAACCUGGAAAGUUCGGAGGGGACUGCCGGGCUAGAGGACGGGAGAGGAGCGCGGAAUUCCCGGUGUAGCGGUGAAAUGCGUAGAGAUCGGGAGGAACGCCGGUGGCGAA